UACGUAGGGUGCGAGCGUUGUCCGGAAUUAUUGGGCGUAAAGGGCUCGUAGGCGGUCUGUCACGUCGAAAGUGAAAACUCAGGGCUCAACCCUGAGCCUGCUUCCGAUACGGGCAGACUAGAGGUAUGCAGGGGAGAAUGGAAUUCCUGGUGUAGCGGUGAAAUGCGCAGAUAUCAGGAGGAACACCGGUGGCGAAGGCGGGUCUCUGGGCCGUAACUGACACUGAGGCGCGAAAGCGUGGGGAGCGAACAGG
RNAcentral lists this ribosomal RNA (253 nucleotides) under uncultured bacterium. Its description in RNAcentral is "partial 16S ribosomal RNA". It matches the Rfam family "Bacterial small subunit ribosomal RNA", at positions 524 to 776 of the family's 1533-position model. The record is from RNAcentral.